This 993-nucleotide ribosomal RNA is filed under the name Probstmayria sp. PNLS-532. RNAcentral's name for it is "LSU rRNA". It matches the Rfam family "Eukaryotic large subunit ribosomal RNA", at positions 100 to 905 of the family's 3401-position model. The record is from RNAcentral. Lineage: Eukaryota; Metazoa; Nematoda; Chromadorea; Rhabditida; Atractidae.
GGGGAAAGCCCAGCGCUGAAUCCUUUAGUCUUUGACUAAUAGGAAAUGUAGCGUAUAGGUGUAGGUGUUCGUGCGUUUUGCUCACCCAAAGUUCCCCUUGAGCGGGGCUACAGUCCGUAGAAGGUGCUAGACCUGUACGGGUGGCGAGAUGUUCGAUAGCUUGCUCCUUGGAGUCGGGUUGCCUGAGAUCGCAGCCCAAAGAGGGUGGUAAACCUCAUCUAAGGCUAAAUAUGACCACGAGACCGAUAGCAAACAAGUACCGUGAGGGAAAGUUGCAAAGAACUUUGAAGAGAGAGUUCAAGAGGGCGUGAAACCACUAAGAUGGAAACGGAUAGAGUUGACGAAACUCGGCGGCAUUCAACUGGUCAGCUUAGCGGCUUUGCGGCUUUGUGCCUCGAUGAGGACAGGGACGUGAGUUGCUGUUGGGCAUCGGCUGGUGUAUUUGCCGUCGGUAUGCGCUGAGAGCCUCGGCUUCGUGCGUUGACGCAUGUGUAGUGGACCACUCCUUCCGGGCGUGGAACCCUGCGCGUGUUGAGACACAUCGGGGCUGGGGUUUGCUUCCAGUCUCCGCUAACGCGCAACGGUUGCUACGUGUUUGGCGUUGCUGUUGGACGGUCGCAUGCGACUUGUCUACAGUUGGCGUCGAUCCGCGGUGAUGCAGUUGCGUUGAGACGUUCAUCUCGGUGUGAAAGUUGACCACCUAUCCGACCCGUCUUGAAACACGGACCAAGGAGUCUAGCAUAUGCGCGAGUCAUUGGGUGGUAAACCUAAAGGCGUAAUGAAAGUAAAGGUCGCCUUGAUGCGGCUGAUAUGGGAUCCGCGCGGUUUCGACUGUGCGGCGCACCAUAGCCCCGUCCCCGUUGCUUGCAAUAGGGCGGAGGUAGAGCGCAUACGCUGGGACCCGAAAAGAUGGUGAACUAUGCCUGAGCAGGAUGAAGCCAGAGGAAACUCUUGGUGGAGGUCCGAAGCGGUUCUGACGUGCAAAUCGAUCGU